Molecule: long non-coding RNA, 973 nt
Filed under: Chrysemys picta bellii (western painted turtle)
Lineage: Eukaryota; Metazoa; Chordata; Testudines; Emydidae
Description: lncRNA (ENSCPBG00000002272.1)
Source: RNAcentral
UCUGUAUUUAGUUUGAUUAGGCAUAGAUUUGCGCAUUUUUAUUUUAUUUUGCUUGGUGACUUACUUUGUUCUGUCUGUUACUACUUUGAACCACUUAAAUCCUACUGUCUGUAUUUAAUAAAAUCACUUUCUAUUUAGUAAUUUACUCAGCGUAUGUAUUAAUACCUGGGGGAGCAAACAACUGUGCAUAUCUCUCUAUCAGUGUUAUAGAGGGCGAACAAUUUAUGAGUUUGCCCUGCAUAAGCUUUAUACAGGGCAAAACGAAUUUAUUUGGGUUUAGACCCCACUGGAAGUUGGGCAUCUGAGUGCUAAAGACAAGCGCACUUCUGUACGCUGUUUUCAGGUAACUUGCAGCUUUGGGACAAGUGAUUCAGACCCUGGAUCUGUGUCUGGAGCCAAACGGGAGUGUCUGGCUCAGCAAGACGGGGUGCUGGAGUCCUGAGCUGGCAGGUAAAACAGGAGCAGGGGUAGUCUUGGCACGUCUGGUGGCAGCUCCCAAGGGGGUUUCUGUGAUCUAACCCGUCACAGUGUGUACCUGCACAGGGACCCAAAGGGGAUUAAUAACCCCAAUUACACCUCUGCAUGCCCGUUCACUACACUCCAGGCGCAGAUUUCUUUCUACAGUGACUGGAUCUGAUCUUGCUACUGUCCUCCAGCAAAGUGAGGAACUUUUUCCAACAUGGGCUUAAGGGUAGAGAGACUCUUACGCAAAGGAAUAUAAGGACUGCCAUACCAGAUGGGGCCCAAUGGUGAUUACUGACAUAUCAUCCGCCUGUACAACCAAUUUUCCAGAGGGGAAUGACAGAACUGCAUCAAGAAUGAAAGAAGAAGUUGUAUAUACUGAAGGUUGUGUAAACCAGAAAUACCUACUCUGUUUGAGAUGUUGGAUAGAUGCAUAUGGUAGACAGUAAGUGCAGAGAAGGUAAGACCUGCCAGUAUAGGUUACUGAGCUGGAUGGAUUUUUAGUAGAAGU